Long non-coding RNA from Mauremys reevesii (Reeves's turtle), 463 nucleotides. RefSeq lists it as uncharacterized. The transcript is spliced from 3 exons. NCBI's taxonomy places the organism in Eukaryota, Metazoa, Chordata, Testudines, Geoemydidae. The record is from RefSeq and is a predicted model, not a curated record.
AGAAGCAAGGCUGCCCCACACUAAGUGCAUACGGUAGAGAGGUGUAUCACAACUCUGGGUACCCCCAGGAAGCAUCAACUCCUAAAACCCUCCGUAUCAGAUUGCAACCCUUCAGCUUCUUAAAAGGAGCCAUUAAGUAGGUAAAAUUCUGGGCAGUUUAGCCUUGACAGUGUCCCCUUUACAAACAACUCAAUAGAAGGGACCAUCACUGUAAUGGGAAAAACAUUUGAUCAGCACAUCACAUUGCUGUCGCAGACUCACUCUGGGUGCGGUGCUCCUGUCUUCGUCAGCAAGGUCAGCACAAAGAACAUGAAAAUGACAAAAACUGCCAGACCGACCCAAAAUCCAAUCACAAUGGAAUCUGCAGGAGAGAGGACCCCUGACUCAUUCAAUGCACAGGCUGGAUGCACAAAGAGGCAGAAUUAAGGCUGCACAGGCAAUUGUAAAUUUGGCUUUUCCUAAC